Molecule: ribosomal RNA, 258 nt
Filed under: uncultured bacterium
Lineage: Bacteria
Description: partial 16S ribosomal RNA
Rfam family: Bacterial small subunit ribosomal RNA
Source: RNAcentral
UGGCGGACGGGUGAUAACGGCGUGGGUAACCUGCCUUAUACAGGGGGAUAACACUUAGAAAUAGGUGCCAAAACCGCAUAAGCGCACAGCUUCGCAUGAAGCGGUGUGAAAAACUCCGGUGGUGUAAGAUGGACCCGCGUCUGAUUAGCUUGUUGGCGGGGUAACGGCCCACCAAGGCGACGAUCAGUAGCCGGCCUGAGAGGGCGGACGGCCACAUUGGGACUGAGACACGGCCCAGACUCCUACGGAAGGCAGCAG